GCCAGGUCCAGCAGGGGCGCCCCGCAGGUGGGGCCUGGCGGCCUUCACCUUCCGGAUCCCCGACCCGGCGCGACCGGGAGCCGGCAGACUUUUGUCUAGGAGGGAAAACCCGAGCGCGGGGCCGGCCGCGACAUCGCAGCAUCCCAAAGAGCUUUUGGAAUUUGGGUCACUCCCUUCUACCCCGACGUCACACACUUACUGCUCCCGGCAGCGGAGGCUCCAGCGCCUGGCCGCGCACAAACCACGACUUCUACCGUCCUGCCGGGGAAAACUACAGGUCCCGAAAUGCACCGCUACGUGCUCAGGCGCAGUGGGCCGGUGCCGCCGACGAGAGUGCACUACUCCGUGCGCAGGCGCAGUGGGCCCGGGCAGAAGACCUGGGGCGCGCUGCUCACUGCGCAGGCGCAGUGAGCCCAGGCGGGCAGCCCUGGCCAGCAGCUCUUGUCCCUGUGGCUGGAGGCUGAAGUCCACGUAGGCCCCGGCGGGGAGCCGCUGGGGUGUAGGCCGGGUGCCUUUGUCCAAGCCUGGCGCCACUGCCCAGACACUUUACUUCAAAUUUGGCUUUAUUUUCAUCAUUGAUAUUGAUUAAAAUGACAUUCACUUGCCCGGAAAGUAAAAGAGGUCUUCAGCACAAAAUAUUGCUCCAACAAGCAAGCAUAAAUCACUGAGAUUGAAAUGUCAUCUAUCUUUAUUGGCCAACCACAUAAUCUCCAUGAAAAUUCUCAACAGAGAGCAAGGAACUCACUUUCUUCUAAGCAAAGACAAUUUGGAUUUGCCUCGUGGCACUGGCAUCUCUUCAUGUCUGGACGUCAGAUGUUAGCUUGGUGCCUUUCUCCCUUAUCAGGGGGACAUUUUGAACCCAGCCGCACCAAUGUUCUCAUGGAUGGUGGCCUUCGAUUCUUCUAGAUUCAAGAUUUGGCUCUUGUACUUUUCCUGCCAGUCCUCUACAAUGUACUGGUGGUAGGGGUCAUUGGAGUGUUCCCGUCUCUUGGAUUUCACAGUGCUCACCAGGAUGGCCACGAUGAUGAAAGAGAACAUUCCAAUCAUCACCAUGAGGUACAGGAUGACAUAGUAGAAGUUCUCAGCAUCAACUUUGGCUUGGAGGGCCUCUUGCUCAGCUGUUGUGUUCUGGCGCCAAUUGUCCAUAUAAGUAAUAAAAAUCCUUCGGAAG
This 1171-nucleotide long non-coding RNA is filed under the name Homo sapiens (human). RNAcentral's name for it is "non-protein coding lnc-C21orf140-1:1". The record is from RNAcentral. Lineage: Eukaryota; Metazoa; Chordata; Mammalia; Primates; Hominidae.